RNAcentral lists this ribosomal RNA (253 nucleotides) under uncultured bacterium. Its description in RNAcentral is "partial 16S ribosomal RNA". It matches the Rfam family "Bacterial small subunit ribosomal RNA", at positions 524 to 776 of the family's 1533-position model. The record is from RNAcentral.
UACGGGGGGAGCAAGCGUUGUUCGGAUUUACUGGGCGUAAAGGGCGCGUAGGCGGUAGCACAAGUCAGUUGUGAAAUCUCCGGGCUUAGCUCGGAAAGGUCAACUGAUACUGUGCGACUAGAGUGCAGAAGGGGCAACUGGAAUUCUCGGUGUAGCGGUGAAAUGCGUAGAUAUCGAGAGGAACACCUGCGGCGAAGGCGGGUUGCUGGGCUGACACUGACGCUGAUGCGCGAAAGCCAGGGGAGCGAACGGG